RNAcentral lists this ribosomal RNA (489 nucleotides) under Hylodes meridionalis (Rio Grande tree toad). Its description in RNAcentral is "partial 16S ribosomal RNA". Lineage: Eukaryota; Metazoa; Chordata; Amphibia; Anura; Hylodidae. The record is from RNAcentral.
GCUUUAGAGUAAUUCAAUUAAGGUACAGCCUAUUUGAAACAGGAUACAACCUUGCCUAAUGGGUAAAUAACAUAUUACAUCUUUAAGUAGGCCUAAAAGCAGCCACCUUUUAAAAAGCGUCAAAGCUUCGCUAUGCUAAUAUUCAAUACCAACCUCACAAAUUAACCCUUUAUUGUCAUUGAGCAAAUCUAUACAUCUAUAGACACGUUUAUGUUAAAACUAGUAACAAGAAUUAGAUUUUCUCUUUAUGUAAGCUUACAUCAGAAUGGACACACCACUGAUAAUUAACACCUAUGAAUCAAAAGUAGUAACCCAACAAGAAAACUCUUCUGUACCCAAUGUUAAUCUAACACAAGCACAUAUCAAGAAAGAUUAAAAGAAAAAGAAGAAACUCGGCAAAUGUUAACCUCGCCUGUUCACCAAAAACAUCGCCUCUCGUAGAAUUUGAGAGGUCCAGACUGCCCAGUGGCCUGUCUCGAACAGAGAAUC